CAGAGUUCAUGCCCUCACGGGUAGAUCUCCCACCCUUGAAUAUUUUAUACCUUUGUUGCUUUGGCGGGCCGCUUCGGCUACCGGCUUCGGCUGGUGAGUGCCCGCCAGAGGACCCAAAACCCUGAAUUAUUAGUGUCGUCUGAGUAAAAUAUUUAAUAUUUA
RNAcentral lists this unclassified non-coding RNA (162 nucleotides) under uncultured Helotiales. Its description in RNAcentral is "sequence contains ITS1". Lineage: Eukaryota; Fungi; Ascomycota; Leotiomycetes; Helotiales. The record is from RNAcentral.